UACGUGAGGUGCGAGCGUUGUUCGGAAUUAUUGGGCGUAAAGCGCACGCAGGUGGGAUGGUGUGUCGAUUGUGAAAGCCCCGGGCUUAACCUGGGAAUGGCAUUUGGGACUGCAAGGCUUGAGUGCGGCAGAGGAGACUGGAAUUCCUGGUGUAGCAGUGAAAUGCGUAGAUAUCAGGAGGAAUACCGAUGGCGAAGGCAGGUCUCUGGGCUGACACUGACGCUCAUGCACGAAAGCGUGGGGAGCAAACAGG
This 253-nucleotide ribosomal RNA is filed under the name uncultured bacterium. RNAcentral's name for it is "partial 16S ribosomal RNA". It matches the Rfam family "Bacterial small subunit ribosomal RNA", at positions 524 to 776 of the family's 1533-position model. The record is from RNAcentral.